RNAcentral lists this ribosomal RNA (429 nucleotides) under Verrucomicrobiota bacterium. RNAcentral's name for it is "Verrucomicrobia bacterium partial 16S ribosomal RNA". It matches the Rfam family "Bacterial small subunit ribosomal RNA", at positions 355 to 776 of the family's 1533-position model. Lineage: Bacteria; Pseudomonadati; Verrucomicrobiota. The record is from RNAcentral.
UGGGGAAUCUUCCGCAAUGGGCGAAAGCCUGACGGAGCAACGCCGCGUGAGUGAAGACGGCCUUCGGGUUGUAAAACUCUGUGAUUCGGGACGAAAGAUAAGCAGACGAAUAAUCUGCAUAAGUGACGGUACCGAAAAAGCAAGCCACGGCUAACUACGUGCCAGCAGCCGCGGUAAUACGUAGGUGGCAAGCGUUGUCCGGAAUUAUUGGGCGUAAAGCGCGCGCAGGCGGUCACUUAAGUCCAUCUUAGAAGUGCGGGGCUUAACCCCGUGAUGGGAUGGAAACUGGGAGACUGGAGUAUCGGAGAGGAAAGUGGAAUUCCUAGUGUGGCGGUGAAAUGCGUAGAUAUUAGGAAGAACACCGGUGGCGAAGGCGACUUUCUGGACGAAAACUGACGCUGGGGCGCGAAAGCGUGGGGAGCAAACAGG